GUAGUGAGUGAAGGAAAGAAAAAUCUUUUCUUGCAGAUAACCAGGAUUGCAUCUAAAAUUUUUUAUAUAUUUUACUAAUUAAAGAUUAAAUAUUUACCUAAUAUAUAGUGGAAUAGAGAUUAAAUCCUCGAAAUCUAGACUCAAAUCCUAGCAUAGGUAUGAAUCUGCAGGCUCUCUACUUCGUGCGUAUGCCAAGCUACACAAGAAAGCAGGAUGAAGCCUCAGACUGAAGCACCUUCACAAAGCCACCA
This 251-nucleotide long non-coding RNA is filed under the name Elaeis guineensis (African oil palm). RNAcentral describes it as "long non-coding RNA (EGUI_LNC040241)". Lineage: Eukaryota; Viridiplantae; Streptophyta; Magnoliopsida; Arecales; Arecaceae. The record is from RNAcentral.